CACCAGGCCGGCUUUCCUUUACAUGAGUAUGAUGAAAUAAAGUGAAGUUGUACCCAGGAGUAUUCGUGCUCUGAUUCUUAUUGAACAGCCAAUCCCCAGGAGUUAUGCGCUAUUGAGAAGAAUGCUCCCGCUUCCAUUAUAAGAAGGUUACAAGAGAGACACUGUGUGGACAGAAACGUAACCGUCGCCUUGGGGAAGAGCAUUGAUUUUACAAA
Long non-coding RNA from Hyla sarda, 215 nucleotides. RefSeq lists it as uncharacterized. The record is from RefSeq and is a predicted model, not a curated record. Lineage: Eukaryota; Metazoa; Chordata; Amphibia; Anura; Hylidae. The transcript has 3 exons.